CACAUGCCUGUAAUCCCAGCUACUCCGGAGGCUGAGGCAGGAGAAACUCUUGAAGCCGGGAGGCAGAGGUUGCAGUGAGCCAAGAUCACACCACUGCACUCCAGCCUGGGUGACAGAGAGAGACUCCAUCUCAAAAAAAAAAAAAAAAAAAAAAAAAAAAUAGGCUUGUUAAUCUCUUAGAUAAGGGUCUGGCAAAAAAAAAAAUAGUGCUCUCUGAAUGUUGGCUAGUAUAAUUAUUACAUUUUUUUUUUAACAACAAUACCUUACUUUUGCCUUAUGCCAAACCUUUCAAAGCCUGUGGGAAAUGUUUUCUCAUGUGAGCCUGGACCAGUGCCAUGUAGUAGACAAGGCAAAUAUUUAUGUCUAGUUUACAAAGGAGUUCAUUUCGAAGAGUUCAGGAACAUGAGAAAUCCUAGAGCCAGGGAUGGUAGAUGCAGAAGCCAGGUGGGCUGACUAAGCCUGGAGGGUAAGAACUGCCCUGGGGAAUACUGUGAAAGAUGAGAAAAAUCUGUCUUUAGCUCUGCCCCCCUUCACCCUUCACUGCUGCAGCCUGAAUUGCUUUCAGCUAUGGUCCCCUCUGAGCUCUGAUAUUGCUGUAAAGGGCUGUUUUUCACAAGCCCAUUGCUUGUUUAAGCAGGGCCACUGGAGGGACCUCAAAAACCCUGCAGAAUUUACUUGUGAUGGAGUUAUUCAGGCACUUCUUGAAACACUUGAGGAACUUAACACAUUGGCUUUCUAGACAGGUAACUCUAGCAGCUGAUGGAGAAUAGUUGGAGGCCUGGAUUCAGGGAGACGAGUAGGGAGGCUGUAUUGAUAAUUCAGGUGAGAAAUAUUGAUUGGUCUGAAUUAAAGCACUAGCAAUGGAGGAGAAGAAAAGAGGCUAGCACGAGGAGAGGUAGGAGGUAGUGCUGAGAGUUGACUGAAUGAAUGUGGAAGAUAAUGGGGAGCUGGGGUUGGAGCUGACAGGAAAUACUUCAUAGAGCAGCGGUUCUCAAGCUUUUUUUGUUUUAACAUCAGAAUCACUUGGUGGGCUUGUGAAAAUAGAGAUUGCUGGGCCCCUACCCAAAAGUGGGUGAGGGCUCUCUUCAUAGUUCGAAGACAGCCAUCUUCCUCUUGUAUCCUCACAGGUGUGGUCCCAGAACCAGCAGCAUUAGGAUCACCUGGGAACUUGUUAAAAAAAUGCAAAUUUGUGGGCCCCUCUUUUGGGUAGGGGCUCAGCAAUCUCUAUUUCUCCACCCCACCUCAACUCACUUUAUUGGCUUUCUCUUUAUCUAGUUGCACAAAAUGGGAGUGAAUGCAAAGUCACAAGGCCCAUUGCUGCUUUGCCAUGGCCACCUAAUGGUUCAGACCAGGAACAUUAUCAGGAACCACUAUCCUAGAGAACAGCGUGGUUAGGUUUCAAUGUAGCUUCUAGGAAGGAAUUAGAUGCAGAUGGGCUGAGAAGAUGGAGGAAAGCAUGUUAGGUGGGCUAAAUGGCAUGGACAGUCAGUAAUAUGAGACUGUGUCCUGCCUGUUCAAGUGGCCUCUUGAGGGCCUGAGUGUGGUAGAGAUAAGACUUUUUAAAUAACCAGUGCCUUUGCAGUGUAUCUGUUUGUGAGCGCUUCCCUUGCUCAUGUUGUGAUAUAGCCAUUGGAUUUAAUGAGUCUUAGUGUGAGUUGUUUCAGAUUCAGAUGCCAAGAGGAUUUAAAUGAAAUUAAGAAGUGCAGGCAACUCCAGAAAAGAAAGGCAUGUUGUACAGGGAAGAGAAGGUGGAGUCACAAAGCCACAGGAAAACUGGGAUCGAAUGCAUACUUAUAUCUGGAGUCCUGGAGCAUUUUGCAGUUCCAGAAAGUAAGAAAAUGCACUUUCUCUCUCUGUCUCUCUCUCUCUCUCUCACACACACACACACACACACACACACACACACACACACACACACACACUGAUGGGGGGUAUGUCAAAGGAAUGCAGGAGCCAACUAAAAGAGCUGCCAAUGGUCAAAGCUAGAACCAUUUGAGUAAUAAAAUAAAGAAGUAUUGGAUUGUAACACAAAGUAUAAAAUAAAUAUCCAUUAGUCCUUACUGAUAUAAAUAAGUGAUUAAAUAAAUAAAUUGGGAAAAAGAGAAAAUUUUCCCAUGCUGAAGAAUUUCAGAUAAUUUAUGUAGUUACUCCACCCUCAAGGAGGGGUGCACAACUCUCCAAUCCUUAGGUUUUGGCUGUGCCUAGUGACUUCCUUCCAAAGAGUGUGGUAUGAAGAGAGGUGGUGGGGAGAGUAAUUUUACAGAGCAGAAACCUCCCAAACACCACAGCCAGGUGAUGAACAAGGCCAACAUCAACAGUAGUAAGUCAUGGGGAUAGCAGUUACUCUUGAUAUGAUGGGAAGAAAAUGGCACUUCACCUCUGUGGUCUUCCUCCCAAUAACUCAUAACCCGAGUAUUUUCUAUGAGGAAAGACGUCAGACAAAUUCCAAUACUAGGCAACCUAUAAAAUACUUGGCCUGUACUCCUCAAAACUAACAAGGUCAUCAAAAAUAAAGUGUGAGAAAUUGCCACAUUUAAAAAGACAUGACAACUUAAUGUAAAGUGGUAUCUGAGAUGGAAUCUUGGAACAGAGAAAGGGCAUUGAAUAAAAGCUAAGAAUCUCUAAAUAAACUAUGCCAUUUUAAAAAUAAUGAUGUGUCAAUAUUGGCUUAUUAAUCAUAACACAUGUAUCAUACUAAUGUAAAGUGUCAACGAUGGGGAAACUGAAUGGAAGGUAUCUGGGAACUUUCUGUACUGUCUCCUCAGUUGUUUCUGUAAAUCUAAAACUGUUCUAAAAAAUAAAGUUUGUUAAAAAGAAAAUAUCCAAAUUCUUGUGAAUAUUCUUGAUCUCUUUUCUACUGAUUAAAGGGUAUAUUAGUUAUCUAUUGCUGCAUAACCAAUUGCCACAAACCUAGUGGUUUAAACAAGACAUAUUCAUUGUUUCACAGUUUCUGAGUAUUAGGAGUUUCGGCUUGGCUUACCUGGGUCCUCUUUAGGAUCUCACAAGGCUCCAAAGAAGUUAUUGGGUUGGUGAGGCUGUUCUCAUCUGCAGGCUGGACUGGGGAAGAAUCUCCUUCCCAGAUUAGUCUGAUUCUUGGCAGGACCAUUUCCUUGCAGCUGUAUGACUGGAAGCCCAGCUUUUUACUCUCUUCUUCCGGGGGCUGUCCUCAGCUCCUAGAGGGCAACAGCAGUUCCUUGCCAGGUGAGCUUCCCC
This 3213-nucleotide long non-coding RNA is filed under the name Homo sapiens (human). RNAcentral's name for it is "HSALNT0306566". Lineage: Eukaryota; Metazoa; Chordata; Mammalia; Primates; Hominidae. The record is from RNAcentral.